Molecule: ribosomal RNA, 490 nt
Filed under: uncultured bacterium
Lineage: Bacteria
Description: partial 16S ribosomal RNA
Rfam family: Bacterial small subunit ribosomal RNA
Source: RNAcentral
AAUGAACGCUGGCGGCAGGCCUAACACAUGCAAGUCGAAGGGAAACAGGAAGCAGCUUGCUGCUUUGCUGACGAGAGGCGGACGGGUGAGUAAUGCCUGGGAAACAGCCUGAUGGAGGGGGAGAACUACUGGAAACGGUAGCGAAUACUGCAUAACGUCGUAGGACCCAAGAAGCGGACCUUCGGGACACUUGCCAUCGGAUGUGCCCAGAUGGGAUUAGCUAGUAGGUGGGGUAACGGCUCAGCCAGGCGACGAUCCCUAGCAGGUCUGAUAGGAUGACCAGCCACACUGGAACUGAGACACGGUCCAGACUCCUACGGGAGGCAGCAGUGGGGAAUAUUGCACAAUGGGCGCAAGCCUGAUGCAGCCAUGCCGCGUGUAUGAAGAAGGCCUUCGGGUUGUAAAGUACUUUCAGCGGGGAGGAAGGGAGUAAAGUUAAUACCUUUGCUCAUUGACGUUACCCGCAGAAGAAGCACCGGCUAACUCCGUG